RNAcentral lists this ribosomal RNA (253 nucleotides) under uncultured bacterium. RNAcentral's name for it is "partial 16S ribosomal RNA". It matches the Rfam family "Bacterial small subunit ribosomal RNA", at positions 524 to 776 of the family's 1533-position model. The record is from RNAcentral.
UACGGAGGGGGCUAGCGUUGUUCGGAAUUACUGGGCGUAAAGCGCGCGUAGGCGGCUUUGCAAGUUAGAGGUGAAAGCCCGGGGCUCAACUCCGGAAUUGCCUUUAAAACUGCAUCGCUAGAAUUGUGGAGAGGUAAGUGGAAUUCCGAGUGUAGAGGUGAAAUUCGUAGAUAUUCGGAAGAACACCAGUGGCGAAGGCGACUUACUGGACACAUACUGACGCUGAGGUGCGAAAGCGUGGGGAGCAAACAGG